This 1171-nucleotide long non-coding RNA is filed under the name Salvia miltiorrhiza (redroot sage). RNAcentral describes it as "long non-coding RNA (SMIL_LNC000890)". The record is from RNAcentral. Lineage: Eukaryota; Viridiplantae; Streptophyta; Magnoliopsida; Lamiales; Lamiaceae.
GCAAGACAUUUGAACAUAGAUUCAAUAUUAAAUUCCCAGCAAAACAAAUACAAGCAACAAAGAAUUGAGAAGUACAUGGCAGGUUGAGAACACAGCUCGCAACAUGCAUUAUAGAAGAAUUAAAAUUACCAUGCACCAUUCUCUAAAGCAAAGACAUGGAACAAAUAAAUUAAAGGUAAGUGUGCAACCGAUACAAAUGAGCCCCGAAAAAAGAAAAAUACAAAGAAAGCUCAUCAGUAACCUUCUUUGAAAGCACACAUCUUCUUUUCGCCAUAACAAGAUAUCUGAAAAACGUGACCAAAAUCACAAAAUGAGAAUUCAGUAAUUUAGUCAGUGGUGAGUGGUACAAUAAAAUAUGAAAAGAAAAUAGAGCACAAAGAUACUAUUUUGAGAACAAGUAGGUAGUGAUUUACAGAAGGUGAAUUAAUGGAUGAAAAGUGUUCACAAACAAUCGAUGUGAGACAAAGACAAGCCGGACCGUGAGGGCACCACGAAAACGGAAACCAAAAAUAAAAUCUCCUAUAACACACAAGUAACAAAUCUUAAAAAACCUAAAGGCUAGAGGACAAUAACCCAAGCCUAAUCCUAGAGAAUAAUCCAAUUCUCUAACUUCAAAUGAUUACUAUAACUAAACGAUAUUGGAAAUGACUUUUAAGUUUUAACUUUCUAAAGUUACGACCUUGUAGUUCAUUUCCAACGUCACUUAUAGAGUUCUUGUAGCUAUGCUAUUUACUUAAACACAAUUUUGGUUACCAAUAUUGAAUUUGAUGAUUAUCCAGGUGGAGAGAUCAAUUAUUUGUUCAAUUACUGUCAAAUUAUUUAGACUCAGUAAAGGUGAAGCUAUUUCAGACUCAGAAAAGGUGAAGCAACUGUAUUGAGUUGGGCUACAUGAUAGUAUACCUAAGAUUCUCUGGAGCUAUAGUUCUAUAUUAUGAUAGUGUGUUAGUAUAUGAUCUAUUGGCAUAAUAUGUUGGUGUGUUUGAAAAAUUGUUUCCAUAGGCAAGCUCAAGUUGUUUAUACAUUUUAACAUGGACCCUAAAACUAAUACUACAUUUUAAUUUAUCAUGAUUUCAACACGUAAGAGAGAAAAUGCAUAUUAUGGAGACUUACCCAAGUGCAAGAUAAUGCUCACUACGCCCGUGGAGAUGUAACUCUUGAAGAAGUGAAUGUC